RNAcentral lists this ribosomal RNA (254 nucleotides) under uncultured bacterium. RNAcentral's name for it is "partial 16S ribosomal RNA". It matches the Rfam family "Bacterial small subunit ribosomal RNA", at positions 524 to 776 of the family's 1533-position model. The record is from RNAcentral.
UACGGAGGGGGCAAGCGUUGUUCGGAAUUACUGGGCGUAAAGGGCGCGCAGGCGGCUGCUCAAGUCAGGCGUGAAAGGCCUGGGCUCAACCCGGGAAUUGCGCUUGAGACUGGGCUGGCUUGAGUGCGGGAGAGGAUGGUGGAAUUCCCAGUGUAGAGGUGAAAUUCGUAGAUAUUGGGAAGAACACCGGUGGCGAAGGCGGCCAUCUGGACCGCAACUGACGCUGAGGCGCGAAAGCGUGGGUAGCAAACAGG